This 515-nucleotide ribosomal RNA is filed under the name uncultured bacterium. Its description in RNAcentral is "partial 16S ribosomal RNA". It matches the Rfam family "Bacterial small subunit ribosomal RNA", at positions 28 to 523 of the family's 1533-position model. The record is from RNAcentral.
GAUGAACGCUGGCGGCGUGCCUAAUACAUGCAAGUCGAGCGAAUGGAUUGAGAGCUUGCUCUUAUGAAGUUAGCGGCGGACGGGUGAGUAACACGUGAGUAACCUGCCCAUAAGGCUGGGAUAACUCCGGGAAACCGGGGCUAAUACCGGCUAACAUUUUGAACCGCAUGGUUCGAAAUUGAAAGGCGGCUUCGGCUGUCACUUAUGGAUGGACCCGCGUCGCAUUAGCUAGUUGGUGAGGUAACGGCUCACCAAGGCAACGAUGCGUAGCCGACCUGAGAGGGUGAUCGGCCACACUGGGACUGAGACACGGCCCAGACUCCUACGGGAGGCAGCAGUAGGGAAUCUUCCGCAAUGGACGAAAGUCUGACGGAGCAACGCCGCGUGAGUGAUGAAGGCUUUCGGGUCGUAAAACUCUGUUGUUAGGGAAGAACAAGUGCUAGUUGAAUAAGCUGGCACCUUGACGGUACCUAACCAGAAAGCCACGGCUAACUACGUGCCAGCCGCCGCAGUAA